GGCGUACGGGUGAGUAACACGUGGGCAACUUGCCCUAGAGACCGGGAUACCCUCUCGAAAGGGAGGCUAAUACCGGAUACGUUCUUCGGGUUGCAAGAUCUGGAGAGGAAAGGUGGCGCAAGCUACCGCUCUUGGAGAGGCUCGCGGCCUAUCAGCUAGUUGGUGAGGUAAUGGCUCACCAAGGCUAUGACGGGUAGCUGGUCUGAGAGGACGACCAGCCACACGGGAACUGAGACACGGUCCCGACUCCUACGGGAGGCAGCAGUGGGGAAUUUUCCGCAAUGGGCGAAAGCCUGACGGAGUGACGCCGCGUGGGGGACGAAGGCCUUCGGGUUGUAAACCCCUGUCAGAGGGAAAGAAGGGUGUCGACGUGAUAACCGCCGGCACUUGACGGUACCUUCAGAGGAAGCCCCGGCCAACUCUGUGCCAGCAGCCGCGGUAAGACAGAGGGGGCAAGCGUUGCUCGGAAUCACUGGGCGUAAAGGGCGCGUAGGCGGGAUGGCAAGUCGGUCGUGAAAUCUCUCGGCUCAACCGAGAAACGUCGGCCGAUACUGCCGUUCUUGAGGGAUGCAGAGGAGACUGGAAUUCCCGGUGUAGCGGUGAAAUGUGUAGAGAUCGGGAGGAACACCGGUGGCGAAGGCGGGUCUCUGGGCAUUUCCUGACGCUGAGGCGCGAAAGCGUGGGGAGCAAACGGGAUUAGAUACCCCGGUAGUCC
RNAcentral lists this ribosomal RNA (715 nucleotides) under uncultured bacterium. RNAcentral describes it as "bacterial SSU rRNA". It matches the Rfam family "Bacterial small subunit ribosomal RNA", at positions 97 to 796 of the family's 1533-position model. The record is from RNAcentral.